UCUCUCUCUCUCUCCUCUUUUUCCUCUCUCCCUGCUACGGUGAGUGUUAGGGUAUAUUUCUCCUGCCUCUCUCUCUCUCUCUCUCUCUCUCUCUCUCUCCUUCGCUUGUAACCGUUUUGAUCUCGUCCUAGAUCUGAGUAUCCGAUUAUUUCUUUUUCCCAUCUUGAUUAAUUUAUCGAUUGCGUACAUGCUUUUACUUGGGAAUUUGGAUUUCUGUAGCCUUUUUGCCCACUCGUGGUGUCUGUCGAUCUGAUAUUAACAUAGAUGGACGAAGAUUUCUUGGUUAGAUUUAUAAUCAUGUUUCAAGAGAUUGGCUUGCAAGAUUUUCCGGAUUUAAUUUCAUCGGAGCAUACUGUCUUGCUGUGUUGAAGGGCAACCUCUGGGAGCGAUCACGGCAACCAUUAUGAGAGUUUCUAGCUCUAGCUCAUCCUCUAUAUUUUAACUCAAUUGCUGGGGCAAUUUCAAGAUAAAAACCGAGGGGUUGGGUUUCUGGAGUUCUUGCACUUGCUGAAUUUAUACUUUUUGUACUUUUUAUAGUAUCUAGCGUAUUAAAGCUGAUGCAAUCAUUAAAUAGGAAAUGCUUGAUGAAACAGAAGGAGGAAUUGAGUGAUUGAAAGAUUCAAAAGUGGGAAGUAUUUAACUGUCAUAUAUGAAGGCAAGGCACAAGGAAAAUUGACAAAUACAUUGGAGACCGCCAAGAAUUCUGCUAUUGCUGGUUUGCCUCAGUAGUUACUUUGUCAUGUUUCACUAAUAAUCUGCCUAUGUUUUUGAUUGUUUCCAUAUCUAUUGCUCUGUCGAUGAAACAACCUAAUUAAAUUGAUCAUCUGAAUGGGGUUUCUAAGAAUGCUUUCUUGCAACGAGACGUAGCUUUUUCCCCUCGUAAAUAUUCUUUCUGCUGAAAGAUUACAACUCAUAGUUUUUUUUAAGAGAAUAACUGCAUAUUUCUAAAGUAAUAUCAUUGUCUUAAAAUAUCAUACCUUUUAGCAAAAGAAUCUCAAUUUUGGUAUUUUUUAUUCAAGUUAUUUUUUUAGUUAUUUAUGGAAUAAACUUAAUUCAAAUUUAUCUGACUGUAUGUAAGUAUGUAACACAAGGCAUUCUAUCUCUAGCAUUCUAGCUUGUUGGUAGACCAUGCAUGAGGACACAUAAUAUAACAUUCUAUAACCAGAACUUAUCUGCUCUUUUACCAACUAACAUGAGUUUUUUAUUUCACAGUAUUAGUUGGUUUCUCAUGAUGUAUUUUUCCUCUUAUGGUGAGUCUUUUUGCGCUCUAUCAUUGUACUAUUUUCUUAUUUUGUAUUUGAAACAGUGGAAGUUUAUAUCUUAUCUAUUUGUUAUCUCUCCCUCUAAAAGGAUAUGAUGGUUAAGUAAAAGGUUCGAGUAAGAAAACUUAUUGGUGGUGAUUAGAUUAAGUUGCGAGAAAGGAAGAUGGCCCUUGUCCUUGCUCAAGUUGUAGCAUUGUGGCUUUUGCAAGCUCUUCAACAACAAGUUUUUCAUGCAUAUGCAUGAUGUUGGGUUGAAAGAAAAGGCAUGGGCUGCAUUCUAAGUUUGAAUGCUAGCCUAGACUUUCUCCCAAUAUUUCAUAUUACAAUCCCAAUGACCAUCUAAUCACUAUCAUGUUUUCUUCACUGAUAAAUCCUUCAAGCUGAUCCUUCCAGUCUUCAAGAUUUUGUGUUUUUUGCCUUCUUAGUUUUCUUUUAUUGAAAUUUUGGUACCUAAGUUGGAUUCUGAAAUUAAUUCUGCUCUCAACUUUGAUAUUAUUGCUGAAUUCAUGCUUUCUUCGUGGUCAUUGGAUAUACUGGACAAUCUUUGAAAACAUUUUUUCUGCAAAUUGGUCUUGCUUGUUACAUGAUUAGUAGGUUUCCAUCUUCAGAGAAAUGAUGCAUGUCUUUAAGAAUGCGUCCUAUUGCUAAGAUACCAGAAACUUCAAGUAAGUAUUCUAAAAGUUGUUGAUUUGCGUUUCUUACCGUAGAUUUGUUAGACCACAUUGUUAGUGUAACAGCUUGAAGCAUAAUCAUGAGAACAUCAUAGUCAAGGCAUGAGUUGAGAAAAGCAUUGUUAUCUAAUCUCUUUACAUGUUUGGUAGAAUUGCUGCAGAUGAAAACUAAUGCAUGCAAAAGGUUGGACAUAUCUUUUGUCUCAUAUGUUUUAGCCUUUCCAUCCAGUUUUUGAUUUAUAUCCUUUCUCUGGUUCUGCAUGAGUUUGGUCAUCAUAUAUAAAGUUUCCAUUACAUCCUGAAAUGGCUGCGCAUUAAUGUUGCAAAUGUUGGCAUGCUAAGUUGUGAUCUUAUACAACCUCGUUUUUGCAUACCGCUUGUUGACAUAUUGUACCUCCUUCAAGCAUCGACUUAAUGUUUGUUCCCUUUUUCUCCUGCUAUUACACAUUCCCUUUCUUUUCCUGCUAUUCUACAUGCUGGAAGAGCAUGAGGCACACUCCACAAAUAUAUUAGCAAGACUGAUAAUAAUAAAUUUACUUGGAAUACCAUUUGUUUGCUGCUCAUAUCAUAUAAUCUAGAAGCCCUCUUUUUGCAUAAAACCAUAUGGGCUGUACAUGGAGGAUUGGUAUGUUUUCCAUUUAUGUAUCACAUCUAGUACUUAAAGAAAGCAUUUGAAGUUUUGUAUCUGAGGUACAUUAGACAUUAUUUACAUGCUAAUCUAUCCAAUCUGAAGAAAAAUUUUCACCUUUGUGAGGGCGGAGACAAAGUCUUGGGAACCAACCGGUUAUCCAUUUUAAACCCUUACUUUCGGCCUUUUUAUUAGAUUUAUGUUUUCCAUCAGACUGUAAAACUAUUAUUUUUGUUUUCAGUGCAACAGUGUGGAGGGAAAUCCUUCAUCUUCAAUUCGUGCCUUUCUCAAAACCUAUUUUGUUAAUAAAAGACAAAGGCAGAAUAUUGCUUAUGAGGUGUGUGUUUGGAGCUACAGUCUGUGAUUUUGUCUACGUCUCAAUGUCAAUUGGUUAGGCUUUCUGGUUCCAUGGCAAUAUUCAUGUCUAUGCCAAAGUGCAGAAAUUUUCUCCCACUUGAAGCGCAAAGGAUUUGAGCUACAAUUAAUUAAGUUGGUAGCUCCUUCAAGGGAGUCUGCUGAAAAGCCCUCCAAUUAUCUAAAGGAAUGCUGUUCUUUUAUGGUCUAUGUGAUUUCCUCAGAACUGAUCCUGUCCUUGCAAUGGUAAGAAUGGCAAGGGGUACUAUUUCUUUGAAGGAGAUUACAUAGGAUAUAUAUUUUGCCUGUAACUCCCGCUCAACCAUUUUAAAGAGUCGCUUCAUGUGGGUAGGGUGAUUAUGAUGUUCUAAGCUAUUUCACAUGGUUACAGAAGUCGCAAUGGGUGUAAAUAUGAAUAUUCAAGGUUGUAAAUCGAGUUCAAUGUUAAGUGAGGCUCUCAUUGAGAAAAAAAAAAUAAAGAGUAAAUUACAAAAAA
Phoenix dactylifera (date palm) is the source of this 3411-nucleotide non-coding RNA. NCBI's taxonomy places the organism in Eukaryota, Viridiplantae, Streptophyta, Magnoliopsida, Arecales, Arecaceae. The record is from RefSeq and is a predicted model, not a curated record.